UCCUCAGUCUCCUCCCAGUUGUAGAUGC
This 28-nucleotide non-coding RNA is filed under the name Rattus norvegicus (Norway rat). Lineage: Eukaryota; Metazoa; Chordata; Mammalia; Rodentia; Muridae. The record is from RNAcentral.